Molecule: ribosomal RNA, 439 nt
Filed under: uncultured bacterium
Lineage: Bacteria
Description: bacterial SSU rRNA
Rfam family: Bacterial small subunit ribosomal RNA
Source: RNAcentral
AACGCGAAGAACCUUACCUGGGCUCGAAAUGCUAUGGACCAGCUGAUGAAAGUCGGCCUUCCCGCAAGGGACCGUAGUAUAGGUGCUGCAUGGCUGUCGUCAGCUCGUGUCGUGAGAUGUUGGGUUAAGUCCCGCAACGAGCGCAACCCUUGUCCUGUGUUGCUACCCGCAAGGGGCACUCGCAGGAGACCGCCAGCGAUAAGCUGGAGGAAGGUGGGGAUGACGUCAAGUCCUCAUGGCCUUUAUGUCCAGGGCUACACACGUGCUACAAUGGCCGGUACAAAGCGUUCCUAAGCCGCGAGGUGGAGGCAAUCGCAAAAAACCGGUCUCAGUUCGGAUUGCAGGCUGCAACUCGCCUGCAUGAAGCUGGAAUCGCUAGUAAUGGCAGAUCAGCACGCUGCCGUGAAUACGUUCCCGGGCCUUGUACACACCGUGUCGA